Molecule: long non-coding RNA, 834 nt
Filed under: Dromaius novaehollandiae (emu)
Lineage: Eukaryota; Metazoa; Chordata; Aves; Casuariiformes; Dromaiidae
Description: lncRNA (ENSDNVG00000006654.1)
Source: RNAcentral
AUUUUAUACUCUACCAUGAAUAAAAGCAUCAUCGAGUGAAAAUACUCCAAUUGCAGACAAGUAUGAAACCAUCCCUGACCAAACAAAGUUGGACCCAGCAGAAGAUGUGAGUCUCACCUCUGAGGAGACAAAACCGGGAGAGCAUCUCCCAGGAGAGCAGGCCAUUCUCAUUCCAGCGCUGGAAGAAAAGAUUGAUUCAGUCAGCAAAAGGGAGGAGCCGGAGGGCACUGAGCCCCUGCCUGCGGGAUUGGAGGACGGCACUGGGCCGCCGUCUGCAUGGCAAGAGGAGAUCACUGGGCCUUCACCACCAGCGCCAGGGGAAGACAAUGGGUCAUCACCAUCAGGACCAGCGGAGAACAGUGGGCUGGUGGAUGGCAAUGACAGCUCUGUAGUGGAAAUCAUCAAGAAAGAACAUAUUACUGAAGAGGACCAACUCAUUGAGGGUGAGACGGGAGAACAGGUGGAAACUGAGCUGCUCAGUGAGAUAGUAAGUGAAGGGUCUGAAACAAAAGAAGAAGAAACAGGAGAAGCUGUGGAUGGUGCAGCAGCGACAGAGAUAGGUAUGUUGACAGAGGAGUGAAGGACUGUGUGUGUUAUUGUUCAGGAGACAGAAAAGCUGUGCUAUUGCUGAUGAACGCGUCUUCGUCAUCUUCCUGUCGGUGAGCAGCUGCUGCUUUCUGCAUUUUAAUGCAAGACAGAUAGUCAGAAUUUUUUUUAUUUACAUAAAGAGAUAGUUUUGGAAGCAAUCAAUUGUAAGUCAUGCUCUUUACAUGGGUCUUCUUUAUAUAAUACAUGAGUCUUACCAGUGAUAAAUUAUCCCUGUUUGGGGAAAAC